CAGCCGCCACGGUAAUGCGAAGGGUGCAAGCGUUAAUCGGAAUUACUGGGCGUAAAGCGUGCGUAGGCGGUGAGUUAAGUCUGCUGUGAAAUCCCCGGGCUCAACCUGGGAAUUGCAGUGGAUACUGGAUCACUAGAGUGUGGUAGAGGAUAGUGGAAUUUCCGGUGUAGCAGUGAAAUGCGUAGAGAUCGGAAGGAACAUCUGUGGCGAAGGCGACUAUCUGGGCCAACACUGACACUGAGGCACGAAAGCGUGGGGAGCAAACAGGAUUAGAUACCCCCGUAGUCCCUGUCUCUUAUAC
Molecule: ribosomal RNA, 301 nt
Filed under: uncultured bacterium
Lineage: Bacteria
Description: partial 16S ribosomal RNA
Rfam family: Bacterial small subunit ribosomal RNA
Source: RNAcentral